UUGGAGACUGAAGAGAAUUGGAAAUGGAAGAGAUGGAAUGACACUAGGUCAACUAGUCCAACCAGUACUUGUAUAAAAAUCCGUUUCAUAAGAUUCCUUGACAAAUGUUUCAAUGUCUUUACCUGUAAGACCAAGGGGUCAGACUAUCACUUAUAAAGACUCUGCAAGCUCUAAAAUUCAUGAUCUGAAAAGUGCCCAGAAAUGGAUACAAUACUACUAGUGGGGUCUGACAAGCCUUCAAAAUGUAGAACUGACAAAGGGAAAUUCUAUUCUGGACCUGAUCCUUGCCAACAAUAAGGGAACUGAUUUCUGGGAAGGAAAUGAAGGAAACCUUGGAAUUUGUGGCAGAGAAGUAGCAAAAAACAAGGACUAAUUUAACAUGCAUCCUAGAUUUUGGAAGAGCAAGACUGCAAAGUUCAGAGAAAUGAUUGAUAGGAUUUCAUGGACUAAAAUUAUACAGGGAAGUUAUCCCAGGAAGGACAGGAAGCACUUAUUAAUGAAACUCUGCAGACAUGAAAAGAAACAAUUCGAAUGAGAAGGGUAAAGGGGAGCUGCUGUUUGGAGAGAUCAAUGAGGAUGCAAAGGGAACUCGUUAAUCAAGGUGGACUUUAAAAAAAAAGUGAAGAUGAAAGCAAGGGCAGGUAAAAUAAAAGGAAGAUGGAAAGCAUGGCCCAGAACUGUAAGAGUCAUAGCAAGAGUACUAAAAAUCAGAAAAAGCCAAAGAUAAUGAUGAAUUCUGACAACAAAAUGGCUUUUGUCUUAUCUCCACUGGGAAGAUGAUUAAUAUCAAUGGAAGGAUGAGACUGCUUCUUGGAAGGCUAGACCAAUGAUAAUGGACAAUGGUGAGAAGGCAGUUCAACUGCUAUUUUACUUCUGUUUUCACAAUCCAAGUGAAUAGCUGGACUGGAAAGGAUAGGGCAAACAUGGCCCAAAGAGAAGUAAUAAAUUAUAAAUUGGAAGAUAUAAGAGAAACCAUGUAACAUUGAUGAGUUCAAGUCACCAGGCACAGAUAAAGUUCACUCUUAGAUAUGCAAAAACUGGCAUGAUUGUUGAGCCACUAUCAAUAGUUUCAGAAAGAUUAUAUGUCAAUGUCCAGAGAAUUAGGUGCAGGUGACUACAAUUCCACUAAAAAGACGGAAUUCUAAGGCUAUCUAGCAACAUCUUUCAAAACCCUCAGAAAUGUUUAUUAUCUCUUUAUCUUAUUCUCACACUAUCUCUUUUGAUGCCAGGGAUGUUGGGAGAAGCUUAUUAGCUCUCCCACUGCCUCCAUUUAUUCAUAUAUUUACAUACCUUGACACAGAAUGAAAUAAACUCCUAUGUCUCUACACAUUGAAAUAUUCUUCUUCCUCAAAAAACCCAGCUUGUAUUCACUUACUCUGAUUCUCCCUCCAACUGAAAAUGAUCUCCCUACUCUAAUCUUGUAGUAUUUAGACUAGAUCUUUCCUUUAUCCUUCUCACAUCCUACUUCUUGCUAUAUCCAUGUACAAGUCUAAUCUCCUCUCUUAGACUAUAAGCUCCUCCAAGGGCAAGGGCUGUUGUGUCUUUCCUUUCAUUUAUUUCCUUCUUUCUUUAUUUCCUUCCUUCUUCCCUCAUCUCUUUUUUUUUCUUUCCUGUGACUUCAUUGCUGUGGAAAUCCUAAGCAAAUAGCCCCCCUCUACCAAUUAAAAUCAAGGACUCUUUUGCAACUUCUGAUUUAAGAAAAUUUCUUGAGAUGUAGAAAGUUAUGAUGACUCCUCCAGGAUCAAUAGCUAACAUGUGUUAGAGGCAGGACUUGAAUUCAGGUCUUCUUAAUUCUGAGGCCAUUUCUCCAUCUAUUACUAUUGUACUGGCUCUUGCUUAGUACAUAGUAAGUACUUUAACACAUAUCUGAUAUUUGACUAAUUAAAGAUGGUAAACUGGGGACCCAGCUAGAAAAAGAGGAUUGCUUAUGGUUCCCUGUAGGUAAGAGUUAGUCCCCUGAUAAUAAGAUAAAGGCUGUCUCCCCUUACACAGCUUAUUCCAAAAGAACUAGGCAUCAGAUGAAAGAAUUUUCACAUGUCCAAUCAUCUAUUCAGAAGUUUACCACUCUCUCUGGCACCAUCAUGAGACUAAGUAAAAAGGUUUUAUACCUGGCUACCCUUUGCAAUAUUUCCAGCCUCAGAACAAGUUGUGUAACUUUUGCCCUGGACUUGACAAAAAUCUUAAUUAUGACCCACAGAGUUCAGAUGAGCUGUUGGGAGAUUGUUGUAACUGAUGGGCCAUGGCUUCUCUAAUUGAAUCCAUUUGGCUUCAUCUCUGGAAUGAGGGCAAUCCCAGGAGUAGAAGUGCCACAAUGAGUCAGUUUCACUUGGCUGCAUUUGGACUGCUUCUGGAAGGAAGUCCCCAAUGGUCCAGGGCUUCCCAAUCUAUUCUGUACUCUUGGACUGGGGAAAGAAUACUCAUGAGCAAUUUCUCAAUUUCCUUCCAAACAGACUGACAAGUUAAUAGACUGAGGGCUUGA
Molecule: non-coding RNA, 2479 nt
Organism: Monodelphis domestica (gray short-tailed opossum)
Lineage: Eukaryota; Metazoa; Chordata; Mammalia; Didelphimorphia; Didelphidae
Source: RefSeq, a predicted model, not a curated record